Molecule: ribosomal RNA, 270 nt
Filed under: uncultured bacterium
Lineage: Bacteria
Description: partial 16S ribosomal RNA
Rfam family: Bacterial small subunit ribosomal RNA
Source: RNAcentral
AACGAACGCUGGCGGCAUGCCUAACACAUGCAAGUCGAACGCUUUCAUAGGCUUCGGCCUAUGAGGGAGUGGCGCACGGGUGAGUAGCGCGUGGGAACCUGCCCUGAAGUGGGGGAUAACCGGGGGAAACUCCGGCUAAUACCGCAUGUGCCGGGGGAAACUCCGGGAAAGAUUUAUCGCUUCAGGAGGGGCCCGCGUCGGAUUAGCUAGUUGGUGGGGUAACGGCCUACCAAGGCAGUGAUCCGUAGCUGGUCUGAGAGGAUGAUCAGC